CUUGGAAUUUCCUAAUGUGUUUUGUGCUUUUCUUCUGUAAGGUUAUGUAUCCUUUUCCUAAGGUGGUGACUUGGAUGUUACUGUUGUGACUGCAGUUGAUUAAAUAUUUGUCGUGCUGAAUUUAUUUUCAAAAAAUGCGGGCAUUGUUUAUUCUCUUUGACUGCCACAGCACUGUUCAUGCAUGCUUGAAAGAGUUUUGUCUUGUUUGCAUGAUGCAUCAUGCAGCCAUAUCCCAGUUUCCCUUCAUAAGUCCAAGUGACAUCUAGUGCAUG
RNAcentral lists this long non-coding RNA (272 nucleotides) under Gallus gallus (chicken). Lineage: Eukaryota; Metazoa; Chordata; Aves; Galliformes; Phasianidae. The record is from RNAcentral.